CAGUCGCCACGGUAAUACGAAGGGUGCAAGCGUUACUCGGAAUUACUGGGCGUAAAGCGUGCGUAGGUGGUGGUUUAAGUCCGUUGUGAAAGCCCUGGGCUCAACCUGGGAAUUGCAGUGGAUACUGGGUCACUAGAGUGUGGUAGAGGAUAGUGGAAUUUCCGGUGUAGCAGUGAAAUGCGUAGAGAUCGGAAGGAACAUCUGUGGCGAAGGCGACUAUCUGGGCCAACACUGACACUGAGGCACGAAAGCGUGGGGAGCAAACAGGAUUAGAGACCCGAGUAGUCCCUGUCUCUUAUAC
Molecule: ribosomal RNA, 301 nt
Filed under: uncultured bacterium
Lineage: Bacteria
Description: partial 16S ribosomal RNA
Rfam family: Bacterial small subunit ribosomal RNA
Source: RNAcentral